UACGUAGGGGGCAAGCGUUAUCCGGAUUUACUGGGUGUAAAGGGAGCGUAGACGGUUGUGUAAGUCAGAUGUGAAAGCCCGGGGCUUAACCCCGGGACUGCAUUUGAAACUAUGUAACUAGAGUGCAGGAGAGGUAAGUGGAAUUCCUAGUGUAGCGGUGAAAUGCGUAGAUAUUAGGAGGAACACCAGUGGCGAAGGCGGCUUACUGGACUGUAACUGACGUUGAGGCUCGAAAGAGUGGGGAGCAAACAGG
RNAcentral lists this ribosomal RNA (253 nucleotides) under uncultured bacterium. RNAcentral describes it as "partial 16S ribosomal RNA". It matches the Rfam family "Bacterial small subunit ribosomal RNA", at positions 524 to 776 of the family's 1533-position model. The record is from RNAcentral.